RNAcentral lists this unclassified non-coding RNA (542 nucleotides) under Hevea brasiliensis (rubber tree). Lineage: Eukaryota; Viridiplantae; Streptophyta; Magnoliopsida; Malpighiales; Euphorbiaceae. The record is from RNAcentral.
GAUCAACCAUGCAUGCAUAAUGCUCAAUUUCAUGUACAAUCCCAUAAACAGAGCUCAUCUUGUCAAAGUAAUGUCGCCCGGUGUCUACAAGACCACUGUGACUACAAGCAGAAAGCAAUCCUGUGAAGGUUAUCUCAUCAGGCCAAAUACCUUCAGCUUGCAUCUUUUCAAAGUGCUUGAUUGCCUCUGGUCCACAACCAUGUAAUGCAAGGGCCCCAAUAAUGGCAUUCCAAGACACUAAAUUCUUAUUUGGCAUCUUGUUAAAGACAUCCAAGGCGAACUUAAGGGUGCCACACUUUGCAAACAUGUCUAUAAUUGAGUUGCAUAGAGUAACACUAGGUGUACUACAAGUGCUAUGUAUGUAAUCGUGGAUUUUCUUUCCCAUGACCAAAUCACCAAUUUGACUACAGGCUGAAAGAAUAGAAAGUAGGGUAGCCUCAUCAGGCUUCACUCUCAAAUUAUUCAUCUCAUGGAACAGAUCAAGAGCUUCCCGGCAUUGGCCUCCCUGAACAUAACAAGAAAUCAUUGCAUUCCAAGAAAUU